GCUCUCUGCCUGCUCACCAAGAGUUCUGUUGAAACUCGCCCUGCCCUCCUCCUCCGGCAAGUGUGAGGCUGUGGUAUGUUUCAAGCCCAGGUUUACUAAGCCCCAAGGGCUACUCUUAACAGACAUUAGGAUCAGCAGAGUUUAGCUCCAGAUAAGAUCUGGAGAAGCAGGAGGGAAGUUACUUGUGCAAACACACACACACACACACACACAGUCAUACACAUUCCCUCCAGAGAAAUCUCUUUGUCUGGAGUCUCUCCUGAGAGUCAGAGUACACACAGAAGAUAAGAACUCAGACUCUUCUGCUGCCAUCUCCGUCCAUCUGUCCAUCUGGUCUCCAGAGAGAAUUCCACCGAAACAAUCCUGCUGGGCUGAACCGGGUCGCCUGCAAACUUUGAAGCAUCUGGUCAAGGCUUGCUGACCUUUUCAAGCUGGACCUGGGCCACAUCUCCAGGUGGCUGUCACCUUGGGACAGAGACACCCUCCAAGGCAAAGCAGCACAUACAUCCCUCCAUAAAUCUGUGCAGAAUGGACAACACAGUGUCGGAUGGCCGAAGCACUGACUAUUGUUUCUAGCAUCUUUGAUCUGUCAACAACUCUCAACAACAUUUAUUUACCAGUUCCUACCUGUCCUCUUCUUCCUGCCCCAAAUGACUAGCAAUAGGAAAUAAGUCAAAACUUUUACCACUGGAAGUAAAUAAAUGGGAUUUUAUUUUUAAGUGGAAUAUAAAAUGGCUAUAAUCCUGUAAACUUUUAAAAUCACCCUGUCAGGAGGAAACGGUAAAUUAUACCACACUCACUUAAACAAUAAGUCAAAUAAUUCCCAACACUAAUAGCUCCCUGUCUUAAUCCAUUUGGGCUGCUAUAACAGGAGCCCCUACACAGGGGGGCUUAUAGGCAACAAAAGUUUACUUCUCACAGUUCUGGAGGUGGGGAAGUCCAAGACCAAGAUUCACUGUCUGCUGAGGUCCUGCUUCCUGAUCCACAGACGUGGCCAUCUUCUCUCUGUGUCCUCACAUGGCGGAAGGGGCCAGGAGGCUCACCGGGGUCUCUUUUGUAAGGGCACUAAUCCUAUUAAUUAGAUCUCCACUCUCAGGACCUGACCACCUCCCCA
RNAcentral lists this long non-coding RNA (1114 nucleotides) under Equus asinus (donkey). RNAcentral's name for it is "lncRNA (ENSEASG00005031307.1)". The record is from RNAcentral. Lineage: Eukaryota; Metazoa; Chordata; Mammalia; Perissodactyla; Equidae.